CUUACUCCGUUGGCAGGGAACGAUAUCCAGCCGAGCUCCGCCGUCGCCGUCCUUGUAUCCAUCACUGUCUCUGUCACACAAAGAAGACCAGACAAAGCGGGAGUCAGAGCUCUGAUGAGGUGGGAAUGACAAAUAAAGCAGCCUGUUGUUCUGCUGAUGCAGUGUAAAAGUCAUUUGGCUCAAUGACAACAAAGACGUUUUCUAGUAUUCCUGGGAUCCACACACCAGUCUUCACCUCCAGAUGCUGCACAAAGCUCACCUCACGUUUCCAUUCAGCACAGUAACAUAUUUUUAUGAUCCACGUCUUCGUGUUCCUACUGCAUCUCAGGUUGGA
Betta splendens (Siamese fighting fish) is the source of this 334-nucleotide long non-coding RNA. RefSeq lists it as uncharacterized. The record is from RefSeq and is a predicted model, not a curated record. The transcript is spliced from 3 exons. NCBI's taxonomy places the organism in Eukaryota, Metazoa, Chordata, Actinopteri, Anabantiformes, Osphronemidae.